GAUUUUCAGAAUUUUCUCAAUAACUACCUCUCACUCUUUGAUUUUCUAUUUUUUUUCUCUUUUUUUUUCUUUUUUGAUUUUCUUUCCCUAUUCUAGAAGCUGGUCAACAUGCAAGCCGAAACAAACAGAUGCGCAAGUAGCACGUAAGAUGCAUCAGGAUGAUCUUUUAAUUUGGGUAAACCUGUCCUAGACAGACCCAACCCCUGUGUUGAGUUCCCAAAGUCAAAUGCACGUGAUACAAACAAGCGUUCCUACUAGGGAUCCGGCAUGAGGCUGCGUUAUUCUAGGUUUAAAACCUGGGUGUAUUGUUCUAGACCUGGCUUACCCGAGCGGACAAUUGGGGCCGAAGAGGGGGCAAUGUACCGGGAGCACUAAAGUCUACCCGGCCUUGUUACUGGUCCAGCCUCGAUCUAUUUGGUAUAAUUUCUACAGAAAAAGCGGGUCACGCGAACGUGUGCACCAUUUUCAGAAGACUCAGAGGGGUGGCAUAAGAAGACAUUAAAUACAGUUCAAGUAAUAUCAAAGCGGUAAAUGACAAUUAGCACAUUAAGUCCACAAAAUACAGUAAUAUCAACAAUAAAGCCAAAUAAAAAUCGCAUUAAUAAGCUCGAAUUCUUGAACCCUGAACCAGAAGUUCUGGGUUCUUAUCCCCAGCAGAGUUGUCAGAACUGUCACAUCUCCUUUAUACCUAUACCCCGUAAGGGGUAUAAGGGGAGUUUUUUCAAUUUAAGUGACAUUAUUCGAAAUGGGAUUGUUUUAUAUUAAAAGGAGUCACGCGUACGUGUACCCAUUUUGUUUGGCGCGUCAAGAAUCAUAAUCACGCUUUAUUGAUAUUAAGAAAGUUUUGUUGAAGUGCGCGGACGCAUACCCCGAUUUAUUUUUAGAAAAAAUCAUAAUUAUGUUACGCGAACGUAUACGUAAUCACGAUGAUAGAUUAAGUCGUGCCUAAAGCAUUCUAAUAGUGUCCAUUAUUCUUCGUAAACUUUGAGAUUGUUGGGAGGUCAUCGAUUAUGGAGUACAAUAUUGGAGGAGCGUGAUUUGCAAAUUGCUUACACCAACUUCUGGAUGAAAUUCUUGCUAAAAAGAAAGACUCGGCUACUUCUGAAAAGCUUGGCAUUCUAUCAAUAAAAGAAAACAGGCCAGCUAGAUGUUCUUAUUAAGAUUGGGCUACUUAUAGCUUUUAUUAAUUGGGCCUGAUAUGGUUCAAGCUUAAUUGAGUCAAAAACUGGAAAAAAAAAUCUCAAACCCACUUUGAUGUUUUUUUUAAAAAAAAAAAAUUACAAAACACAUCUACCAAAGCUUCAUUUUUAAGUCUAACUAAAACCCAACUCCACAGAUUGCAUAGCAAGCUUAGACCAAUAUUAUUUAACAUGUAAAUUCACAAGUACUCUAAUUAAACAAGAAUCCAAUAAGGAAAAAAAAAACUAUGUAGCUAAUAAAUGAAAACCAAGCACACAGCAAGAUAACCCAUCAUUGGUUAUUAGCCAUAAUGGCCCAAUUUAAUUAUCUUACUAUCUUUCAAAGGGCAUGUUAAUGCUAAAUUAAUUGAUUGUCAAAUUUUCCGGUCAAUUCAAAUUACCAAAGUAAGAAAAAGAGCCCAAUAUCCGUCAUUAAAGCCAAUAAAAGAUUAAUAAUAACAGUUGAAGUAAAAUUCCAUGAGCAUCUUGUUGAUUCAUCCAAAUAUGCAUUUGAAAGCUUAAACAAGUAGAAGUUAUCCAUUAACUAGACAAAAAAUCACAGCGCAACAUAUGGUACUCAGUGGAUUUAAUAAGCAUUAUAUAAUUGAAAUGUACCUUUGAUAAUUUCCUUUCCAGAAUUGACUCAAACCUUCGGCAAUGUACAAAAUAAGGAGGAAAUCGACAACCCGACAAACGGCCAGAAACGAAAACGCGAACAGGACCUUAGCCGGACUCGAACGGACCUUCAGAAGAUUUCACUUGAUCUACUCCAUUUUUGGUUAAGAUCUGCAAGGCUUCGUGGAGAAAAAA
RNAcentral lists this long non-coding RNA (1988 nucleotides) under Nicotiana tabacum (common tobacco). Its description in RNAcentral is "long non-coding RNA (NTAB_LNC000285)". The record is from RNAcentral. Lineage: Eukaryota; Viridiplantae; Streptophyta; Magnoliopsida; Solanales; Solanaceae.